AGAUGGAAGUAAAAAUCGUAACAAGGUUUCCGUUGUAGUGACUGCGGAGA
This 50-nucleotide ribosomal RNA is filed under the name Lyophyllum decastes. RNAcentral describes it as "partial 18S ribosomal RNA". Lineage: Eukaryota; Fungi; Basidiomycota; Agaricomycetes; Agaricales; Lyophyllaceae. The record is from RNAcentral.